GAACGUUGCAACCUCGCGGAUGGAACGCGGCGAAGGUUCGAUCGAACGUUGCGGCGACAAGCGGCGCCGCGGGGGGUGCGCUUGGGUCGGCAACCUUAAACACUCAGAGAGCCAUUUGGACCAGUUUCGCACAGAAAAGAAAACACCGGGAGCCACAAAACUCUUCUCAUGCCUGACUAUUUCCUGAGCAUAAAGAUUCUAUUUUCUUCUGAAA
Long non-coding RNA from Pantherophis guttatus, 214 nucleotides. RefSeq lists it as uncharacterized. The record is from RefSeq and is a predicted model, not a curated record. Lineage: Eukaryota; Metazoa; Chordata; Lepidosauria; Squamata; Colubridae.